GAUGAACGCUGGCGGCAUGCCUAACACAUGCAAGUCGAACGGAACGAAGAAGAGUGCUUGCACACUUCUAAGUUUAGUGGCGGACGGGUGAGUAACGCGUGGGUAACCAACCUUUCAGAGGGGGAUAACAAUGAGAAAUCAUUGCUAAUACCGCAUAGUUUUGUAACACCACAUGGUGUAACAAAUAAAGGAGAAAUCCGCUGAGAGACGGACCCGCGUCUGAUUAGCUAGUUGGUAAGGUAACGGCUUACCAAGGCGACGAUCAGUAGCCGGCUUGAGAGGGUGAACGGCCACAUUGGGACUGAGACACGGCCCAAACUCCUACGGGAGGCAGCAGUGGGGAAUAUUGCACAAUGGAGGAAACUCUGAUGCAGCAACGCCGCGUGAGCGAAGACGGUCUUCGGAUUGUAAAGCUCUGUCAACGGGGAAGAAAUAAUGACGGUACCCGUGGAGGAGCCACGGCUAACUACGUGCCAGCAGCCGCCGCAGUAAC
Molecule: ribosomal RNA, 493 nt
Filed under: uncultured Eubacteriales bacterium
Lineage: Bacteria; Bacillati; Bacillota; Clostridia; Eubacteriales
Description: bacterial SSU rRNA
Rfam family: Bacterial small subunit ribosomal RNA
Source: RNAcentral